RNAcentral lists this ribosomal RNA (498 nucleotides) under uncultured bacterium. Its description in RNAcentral is "partial 16S ribosomal RNA". It matches the Rfam family "Bacterial small subunit ribosomal RNA", at positions 28 to 507 of the family's 1533-position model. The record is from RNAcentral.
GACGAACGCUGGCGGCGUGCCUAAUACAUGCAAGUCGAACGAGAGCGACCGGUGCUUGCACUGGUCAAUCUAGUGGCGAACGGGUGAGUAACACGUGGGUAACCUGCCCAUCAGAGGGGGAUAACAUCCGGAAACGGAUGCUAAAACCGCAUAGGUCUUCGAGCCGCAUGGCUUGAAGAGGAAAAGAGGCGCAAGCUUCUGCUGAUGGAUGGACCCGCGGUGCAUUAGCUAGUUGGUGAGGUAACGGCUCACCAAGGCCGUGAUGCAUAGCCGACCUGAGAGGGUGAUCGGCCACAUUGGGACUGAGACACGGCCCAAACUCCUACGGGAGGCAGCAGUAGGGAAUCUUCCGCAAUGGACGCAAGUCUGACGGAGCAACGCCGCGUGAGUGAAGAAGGUUUUCGGAUCGUAAAACUCUGUUGUUAGAGAAGAACAAGUGCUAGAGUAACUGUUAGCGCCUUGACGGUAUCUAACCAGAAAGCCACGGCUAUCUACGUG